RNAcentral lists this ribosomal RNA (253 nucleotides) under uncultured bacterium. RNAcentral describes it as "partial 16S ribosomal RNA". It matches the Rfam family "Bacterial small subunit ribosomal RNA", at positions 524 to 776 of the family's 1533-position model. The record is from RNAcentral.
UACGUAGGGCGCAAGCGUUAUCCGGAAUUAUUGGGCGUAAAGAGCUCGUAGGCGGUUUGUCGCGUCUGCCGUGAAAGUCCGGGGCUCAACUCCGGAUCUGCGGUGGGUACGGGCAGACUAGAGUGAUGUAGGGGAGACUGGAAUUCCUGGUGUAGCGGUGAAAUGCGCAGAUAUCAGGAGGAACACCGAUGGCGAAGGCAGGACUCUGGGCAUUAACUGACGCUGAGGAGCGAAAGCAUGGGGAGCGAACAGG